GGAAUAUAAGAACCCGUCUCUUAACUUUUAACUAAAAAAGCUAAGAACCGUCUCUUAAAACUCUUAUUUAAGAGCCGGUUCUUAACUUUUUUAGUUAAAAGUUAAGAGACAUGUUCUUAUAUUCC
This 125-nucleotide microRNA precursor is filed under the name Brassica oleracea var. oleracea. RNAcentral describes it as "MIR9563 microRNA precursor family". It matches the Rfam family "MIR9563 microRNA precursor family". Lineage: Eukaryota; Viridiplantae; Streptophyta; Magnoliopsida; Brassicales; Brassicaceae. The record is from Rfam by way of RNAcentral.